Molecule: ribosomal RNA, 605 nt
Filed under: uncultured bacterium
Lineage: Bacteria
Description: bacterial SSU rRNA
Rfam family: Bacterial small subunit ribosomal RNA
Source: RNAcentral
CCUACGGGAGGCAGCAGUGAGGAAUAUUGGACAAUGGGCGCAAGCCUGAUCCAGCCAUGCCGCGUGCAGGAUGACGGUCCUAUGGAUUGUAAACUGCUUUUAUACGAGAAGAAACACCCCUACGUGUAGGGACUUGACGGUAUCGUAAGAAUAAGGAUCGACUAACUCCGUGCCAGCAGCCGCGGUAAUACGGAGGAUCCAAGCGUUAUCCGGAAUCAUUGGGUUUAAAGGGUCCGUAGGCGGUUUAGUAAGUCAGUGGUGAAAUCUCCCCGCUCAACGGGGAAACGGCCAUUGAUACUGCUAGACUUGAAUUAUUAGGAAGUAACUAGAAUAUGUAGUGUAGCGGUGAAAUGCUUAGAGAUUACAUGGAAUACCAAUUGCGAAGGCAGGUUACUACUAAUGGAUUGACGCUGAUGGACGAAAGCGUGGGUAGCGAACAGGAUUAGAUACCCUGGUAGUCCACGCCGUAAACGAUGGAUACUAGCUGUUGGAAGCAAUUUCAGUGGCUAAGCGAAAGUGAUAAGUAUCCACCUGGGGAGUACGUUCGCAAGAUGAAACUCAAAGGAUUGACGGCUGAGAGNGCGAGACGACGACGAGGGAGGAGG